AGCGAACGCUGGCGGCAGGCCUAACACAUGCAAGUCGAACGAACUCUUCGGAGUUAGUGGCGGACGGGUGAGUAACACGUGGGAACGUGCCUUUAGGUUCGGAAUAACUCAGGGAAACUUGUGCUAAUACCGAAUGUGCCCUUCGGGGGAAAGAUUUAUCGCCUUUAGAGCGGCCCGCGUCUGAUUAGCUAGUCGGUGCGGUAAAGGCUCACCAAGGCGACGAUCAGUAGCUGGUCGGAGAGGAUGAUCAGCCACAUUGGGACUGAGACACGGCCCAAACUCCUACGGGAGGCAGCAGUGGGGAAUCUUGCGCAAUGGGCGAAAGCCUGACGCAGCCAUGCCGCGUGAAUGAUGAAGGUCUUAGGAUUGUAAAAUUCUUUCACCGGGGACGAUAAUGACGGUACCCGGAGAAGAAGCCCCGGCUAACUUCGUGCCAGCAGCCGCCGUAA
RNAcentral lists this ribosomal RNA (449 nucleotides) under uncultured bacterium. RNAcentral describes it as "partial 16S ribosomal RNA". It matches the Rfam family "Bacterial small subunit ribosomal RNA", at positions 29 to 523 of the family's 1533-position model. The record is from RNAcentral.